This 254-nucleotide ribosomal RNA is filed under the name uncultured bacterium. Its description in RNAcentral is "partial 16S ribosomal RNA". It matches the Rfam family "Bacterial small subunit ribosomal RNA", at positions 524 to 776 of the family's 1533-position model. The record is from RNAcentral.
UACGGGGGGAGCAAGCGUUGUUCGGAUUUACUGGGCGUAAAGGGCGCGUAGGCGGUCAGCACAAGUCAGUUGUGAAAUCUCCGGGCUUAACUCGGAAAGGUCAACUGAUACUGUGCGACUAGAGUGCAGAAGGGGCAACUGGAAUUCUCGGUGUAGCGGUGAAAUGCGUAGAUAUCGAGAGGAACACCUGCGGCGAAGGCGGGUUGCUGGGCUGACACUGACGCUGAGGCGCGAAAGCUAGGGUAGCAAACGGG